UACAGAGGGUGCGAGCGUUAAUCGGAAUUACUGGGCGUAAAGCGUGCGCAGGCGGUUCGUUGUGUCGGCGGGGAAAGCCCCGGGCUCAACCUGGGAAUGGCCGUUGAAACUGGCGAACUGGAGUGUGGCAGAGGGGGGUGGAAUUCCGCGUGUAGCAGUGAAAUGCGUAGAGAUGUGGAGGAAUACCAAUGGCGAAGGCAGCCCCCUGGGAUAAUAUUGACGCUCAUGCACGAAAGCGUGGGGAGCAAACAGG
This 253-nucleotide ribosomal RNA is filed under the name uncultured bacterium. RNAcentral describes it as "partial 16S ribosomal RNA". It matches the Rfam family "Bacterial small subunit ribosomal RNA", at positions 524 to 776 of the family's 1533-position model. The record is from RNAcentral.